Molecule: ribosomal RNA, 411 nt
Filed under: uncultured bacterium
Lineage: Bacteria
Description: bacterial SSU rRNA
Rfam family: Bacterial small subunit ribosomal RNA
Source: RNAcentral
UCGAGAAUCUUCGACAAUGGGCGCAAGCCUGACCGAGCGACGCCGCGUGGAGGACGAAGGCCUUCGGGUUGUAAACUCCUGUCGAGGGGGAGGAAGGGGUAACCUUGACCGAUCCCUGGAGGAAGCACGGGCUAAGUUCGUGCCAGCAGCCGCGGUAAGACGAACCGUGCGAACGUUAUUCGGAAUCACUGGGCUUAAAGCGCGUGUAGGCGGGCCGCCACGUCGGCUGCUGAAAUCCCCCGGCUCAACCGGGGAAGUGGCACCGAUACGAGCGGCCUGGAGGGGGGUAGGGGGCACUGGAACUUCCGGUGGAGCGGUGAAAUGCGUUGAGAUCGGAAGGAACGCCCGUGGCGAAAGCGAGUGCCUGGACCCUUACUGACGCUGAGACGCGAAAGCCAGGGGAGCGAACGG